CCUACGGGAGGCAGCAGUGGGGAAUUUUGGACAAUGGGGGCAACCCUGAUCCAGCCAUGCCGCGUGAGUGAAGAAGGCCUUCGGGUUGUAAAGCUCUUUCGGCCGGAACGAAAUCGCGCACGUGAAUAACGUGCGUGGAUGACGGUACCGGAGUAAGAAGCACCGGCUAACUACGUGCCAGCAGCCGCGGUAAUACGUAGGGUGCGAGCGUUAAUCGGAAUUACUGGGCGUAAAGCGUGCGCAGGCGGUUCGCUAAGUCAGACGUGAAAGCCCCGGGCUUAACCUGGGAACGGCGUUUGAAACUGGCGGGCUCGAGUACGGCAGAGGGGGGUUGGAAUUCCACGUGUAGCAGUGAAAUGCGUAGAUAUGUGGAGGAACACCGAUGGCGAAGGCAGCCCCCUGGGCCGAUACUGACGCUCAUGCACGAAAGCGUGGGGAGCAAACAGGAUUAGAUACCCUGGUAGUCCACGCCCUAAACUAUGUCAACUAGUUGUCGGGGAAGCAAUUCCUUGGUAACGCAGCUAACGCGUGAAGUUGACCGCCUGGGGAGGUACGGUCGCGAGAUAAACUACAAUAGAGUAGACGGCGUGAGACGUGCCGAACGGACGACGACGAGGGAGGUAGG
Molecule: ribosomal RNA, 625 nt
Filed under: uncultured bacterium
Lineage: Bacteria
Description: bacterial SSU rRNA
Rfam family: Bacterial small subunit ribosomal RNA
Source: RNAcentral